RNAcentral lists this ribosomal RNA (460 nucleotides) under uncultured bacterium. RNAcentral's name for it is "partial 16S ribosomal RNA". It matches the Rfam family "Bacterial small subunit ribosomal RNA", at positions 338 to 795 of the family's 1533-position model. The record is from RNAcentral.
CCUACGGGUGGCAGCAGUGAGGAAUAUUGGUCAAUGGACGAGAGUCUGAACCAGCCAAGUAGCGUGAAGGAUGACUGCCCUAUGGGUUGUAAACUUCUUUUAUAUGGGAAUAAAAUGUUCCACGUGUGGGGUUUUGUAUGUACCCUAUGAAUAAGGAUCGGCUAACUCCGUGCCAGCAGCCGCGGUAAUACGGAGGAUCCGAGCGUUAUCCGGAUUUAUUGGGUUUAAAGGGUGCGUAGGUGGUUUGUUAAGUCAGUUGUGAAAGUUUGCGGCUCAACCGGAAAAUUGCAGUUGAAACUGGCAGACUUGAGUACAGGAGAGGUAGGCGGAAUUCGUGGUGUAGCGGUGAAAUGCUUAGAUAUCACGAAGAACUCCGAUUGCGAAGGCAGCUCACUGGACUGCAACUGACGCUGAGGCUCGAAAGUGUGGGUAUCAAACAGGAUUAGAUACCCGGGUAGUC